Molecule: ribosomal RNA, 501 nt
Filed under: uncultured bacterium
Lineage: Bacteria
Description: partial 16S ribosomal RNA
Rfam family: Bacterial small subunit ribosomal RNA
Source: RNAcentral
GAUGAACGCUAGCGACAGGCUUAACACAUGCAAGUCGAGGGGCAGCGGGGGUAGCAAUACCCGCCGGCGACCGGCGCACGGGUGAGUAACGCGUAUGCAACUUACCUAUCAGAGGGGGAUAACCCGGCGAAAGUAGGACUAAUACAGCAUGAAGCAGGGGCCACGCAUGGGGAUAUUUGCUAAAGACUCAUCGCUGCUCGAUAGGCUGGCGUUCCAGUAAGCCGUUGGCGGGGGAACGGCCCACCAAACCGACGAUGGAUAGGUGUGCUGAGAGGAAGUUACCGCACAUUAGUACGGAGACACGGGCAAAACUCCUACGGGAGGCAGCAGUGAGGAAUAUUGGUCAAUGGGCGCGAGCCUGAACCAGCCAAGUCGCGUGAGGGAUGAAGGUUCUAUGGAUCGUAAACCUCUUUUAUAAGGGAACAAAGUGCUGGACGUGUCCUGUUUUGUAUGUACCUUAUGAAUAAGGAUCGGCUAACUCCGUGCCAGCAGCCGCGGUAA